GGAAGGAUCAUUAAUGCUUUAGCGGGUGUGUUGCGGCCCUCGAGGCCCCGUGCAUUCGCUGCACGGGAACAAGCUCCGGGAGGUGUAGGGUUCCCACGUGGGGGCCCUUUCACGCGCACAUGACUGAAUCCUUACUUUACUCGUACCUCUCGUUCUCCUUCGGCGGGGCAGCCUGCCGUUGGAACAGCCAAAACUCUUUUUUUUUUUUGCAUCCAGCAUUACCUGUUCUGAUACAAACAAUCGUUACAACUUUCAACAAUGGAUCUCUUGGCUCUGGCAUCGAUGAAGAACGCAGCGAAAUGCGAUAAGUAGUGUGAAUUGCAGAAUUCAGUGAAUCAUCGAAUCUUUGAACGCACAUUGCGCCCCUUGGUAUUCCAUGGGGCAUGCCUGUUCGAGCGUCAUCUACACCCUCAAGCUCUGCUUGGUGUUGGGCGUCUUUGUCCCGCCUCCGCGCGCGGACUCGCCCCAAAUUCAUUGGCAGCGGUCCUUGCCUCCUCUCGCGCAGCACAUUGCGCUUCUCGAGGUGUUGCGGCCCGCGUCCAGAAAGCAAUCGUUACCGUCUUUGACCUCGGAUCAGGUAGGGAUACCCGCUGAACUUAAGCAUAUCAAUAAGCGGAGGAAAAGAAAGCAACAGCGAUAGCCUCAGUAACGGCGAGUGAAGCGGCUACAGCUCAAAUUUGAAAUCUGGCCCUCUUUGGGGGUCCGAGUUGUAAUUUGCAGAGGAUGCUUUGGCAUCGGCGGCGGUCUAAGUUCCUUGGAACAGGACAUCACAGAGGGUGAGAAUCCCGUACGUGGGCGCCUGCCUUUGCCGUGUAAAGCUCCUUCGACGAGUCGAGUUGUUUGGGAAUGCAGCUCUAAAUGGGAGGUAAAUUUCUCCUAAAGCUAAAUACCGGCCAGAGACCGAUAGCGCACAAGUAGAGUGAUCGAAAGAUGAAAAGUACUUUGGAAAGAGAGUCAAAUAGCACGUGAAAUUGUUGAAAGGGAAGCGCUUGCAGCCAGACUUGCCCGCAGUUGCUCACCCAGGCUCUUGCCUGGGGCACUCUUCUGCGGGCAGGCCAGCAUCAGUUUGGGCGGUCGGACAAAGGCCUCUGUCACGUACCACCCCUCGGGGUGGCCUUAUAGGGGAGGCGUAAUGCGACCAGCCCGGACUGAGGUCCGCGCAUCUGCUAGGAUGCUGGCGUAAUGGCUGUAAGCGGCCCGUCUUGAAACACGGACCAAGGAGUCUAACAUCUAUGCGAGUGUUUGGGUGUCAAGCCCGGGCGCGCAAUGAAAGUGAACGGAGGUGGGAACCCUUCGGGGUGCACCAUCGACCGAUCCUGAUGUCUUCGGAUGGAUUUGAGUAAGAGCAUAGCUGUUGGGACCCGAAAGAUGGUGAACUAUGCUUGAAUAGGGUGAAGCCAGAGGAAACUCUGGUGGAGGCUCGCAGCGGUUCUGACGUGCAAAUCGAUCGUCAAAUUUGGGCAUAGGGGCGAAAGACUAAUCGAACCAUCUAGUAGCUGGUUCCUGC
This 1507-nucleotide unclassified non-coding RNA is filed under the name uncultured fungus. RNAcentral describes it as "sequence contains 18S rRNA gene, ITS1, 5.8S rRNA gene, ITS2, 28S rRNA gene". The stretch from base 564 to 1507 matches the Rfam family "Eukaryotic large subunit ribosomal RNA", at positions 1 to 961 of the family's 3401-position model. Lineage: Eukaryota; Fungi. The record is from RNAcentral.